CCUACGGGAGGCAGCAGUGGGGAAUAUUGCACAAUGGGCGCAAGCCUGAUGUAGCCAUGCCGCGUGUGUGAAGAAGGCCUUCGGGUUGUAAAGCACUUUCAGCGGGGAGGAAGGCGGUGAGGUUAAUAACCUCAUCGAUUGACGUUACCCGCAGAAGAAGCACCGGCUAACUCCGUGCCAGCAGCCGCGGUAAUACGGAGGGUGCAAGCGUUAAUCGGAAUUACUGGGCGUAAAGCGCACGCAGGCGGUCUGUCAAGUCGGAUGUGAAAUCCCCGGGCUCAACCUGGGAACUGCAUUCGAAACUGGCAGGCUAGAGUCUUGUAGAGGGGGGUAGAAUUCCAGGUGUAGCGGUGAAAUGCGUAGAGAUCUGGAGGAAUACCGGUGGCGAAGGCGGCCCCCUGGACAAAGACUGACGCUCAGGUGCGAAAGCGUGGGGAGCAAACAGGAUUAGAUACCCGAGUAGUC
This 465-nucleotide ribosomal RNA is filed under the name uncultured Klebsiella sp. RNAcentral's name for it is "bacterial SSU rRNA". It matches the Rfam family "Bacterial small subunit ribosomal RNA", at positions 338 to 795 of the family's 1533-position model. Lineage: Bacteria; Pseudomonadati; Pseudomonadota; Gammaproteobacteria; Enterobacterales; Enterobacteriaceae. The record is from RNAcentral.